Molecule: ribosomal RNA, 460 nt
Filed under: uncultured bacterium
Lineage: Bacteria
Description: partial 16S ribosomal RNA
Rfam family: Bacterial small subunit ribosomal RNA
Source: RNAcentral
CCUACGGGUGGCAGCAGUGAGGAAUAUUGGUCAAUGGGCGCUAGCCUGAACCAGCCAAGUAGCGUGAAGGAUGACUGCCCUAUGGGUUGUAAACUUCUUUUAUAGGGGAAUAAAGUGCAGUAUGUAUACAGCGUUGCAUGUACCUUAUGAAUAAGGAUCGGCUAACUCCGUGCCAGCAGCCGCGGUAAUACGGAGGGUCCGAGCGUUAUCCGGAUUUAUUGGGUUUAAAGGGAGCGUAGGCGUGUUGUUAAGUCAGUUGUGAAAGUUUUCGGCUCAACCGUAAAAUUGCAUUUGAUACUGGCAUCCUUGAGUCCAGUAGAGGUCGGCGGAAUUCGUGGUGUAGCGGUGAAAUGCUUCGAUCUCACGAAGAACUCCGAUUGCGAAGGCAGCCUGCUGGACUGUAACUGACGCUGAUUCUCGACAGUGUGGGUAUCAAACAGGAUUAGAUACCCUAGUAGUC